UACAGAGGUCUCAAGCGUUGUUCGGAAUCACUGGGUGUAAAGGGUGCGUAGGCCGCACGGUAAGUCAGAGGUGAAAUCCCGGAGCUCAACUUCGGAAUUGCUUCCGAUACUGCCGUGCUUGAGGACUGGAGAGGAGUCUGGAAUUCACAGUGGAGCAGUGAAAUGCGUAGAUAUUGUGAGGAACACUAGUGGCGAAGGCGAGACUCUGGACAGUUCCUGACGCUGAGGCACGAAGGCCAGGGGAGCAAACGGG
This 253-nucleotide ribosomal RNA is filed under the name uncultured bacterium. Its description in RNAcentral is "partial 16S ribosomal RNA". It matches the Rfam family "Bacterial small subunit ribosomal RNA", at positions 524 to 776 of the family's 1533-position model. The record is from RNAcentral.